Molecule: ribosomal RNA, 301 nt
Filed under: uncultured bacterium
Lineage: Bacteria
Description: partial 16S ribosomal RNA
Rfam family: Bacterial small subunit ribosomal RNA
Source: RNAcentral
CAGUAGCCGCGGUAAUACGAAGGGUGCAAGCGUUACUCGGAAUUACUGGGCGUAAAGCGUGCGUAGGUGGUGGUUUAAGUCCGUUGUGAAAGCCCUGGGCUCAACCUGGGAAUUGCAGUGGAUACUGGGUCACUAGAGUGUGGUAGAGGAUAGUGGAAUUUCCGGUGUAGCAGUGAAAUGCGUAGAGAUCGGAAGGAACAUCUGUGGCGAAGGCGACUAUCUGGGCCAACACUGACACUGAGGCACGAAAGCGUGGGGAGCAAACAGGAUUAGAUACCCGGGUAGUCCCUGUCUCUUAUAU